CUCUUCGGGGAUGAUUAAACCGGCGCACGGUGAGUAACACGUGAGUGACCUGCCUUUUAGACUGGAACAACUUACCGAAAGGUGAGCUAAUGCCGGAUGAGUUAUAUAAGUGCAUGUUUAUAUAGGAAAAGUUGGGGAGACCUGACGCUGAAAGAUGGACUCGCGUCCCAUUAGCUAGUUGGUAGGGUAAUGGCCUACCAAGGCGACGAUGGGUAGCCGGCCUGAGAGGGUGGCCGGCCACACUGGGACUGAGACACGGCCCAGACUCCUACGGGAGGCAGCAGUGGGGAAUUUUGCGCAAUGCUCGUAAGAGUGACGCAGCGACGCCGCGUGAAUGACGAAGGCCUUCGGGUCGUAAAGUUCUUUCGACAGGGAAGAAAAUGCCUAUAAGUAACUGUGUAUGUAUUGACGGUACCUGUAUAAGCAGCCCCGGCUAACUCCGUGCCAGCAGCCGCGGUAAUACGGAGGGGGCGAGCGUUGUUCGGAGUGACUGGGCGUAAAGAGCACGUAGGCGGUGUUGUAAGUCAUUAGUCAAAGACUAGAGCUCAACUUUAGUAAGGCUAGUGAUACUAUAAUACUAGAGUAUCAGAGAGGAUUGCAGAAUUCCUGGUGUAGCGGUGAAAUGCGUAGAUAUCAGGAGGAAUACCGUUAGCGAAGGCGGCAAUCUGGCUGGAAACUGACGCUGAGGUGCGAAAGCGUGGGUAGCAAACAGGAUUAGAUACCCUGGUAGUCCACGCUGUAAACGAUGGAUGCUAGGUGUUGGGCUUUUAAGUUCAGUGCCGCAGCAAACGCGAUAAGCAUCCCGCCUG
Molecule: ribosomal RNA, 809 nt
Filed under: uncultured bacterium
Lineage: Bacteria
Description: bacterial SSU rRNA
Rfam family: Bacterial small subunit ribosomal RNA
Source: RNAcentral